Molecule: long non-coding RNA, 297 nt
Filed under: Elaeis guineensis (African oil palm)
Lineage: Eukaryota; Viridiplantae; Streptophyta; Magnoliopsida; Arecales; Arecaceae
Description: long non-coding RNA (EGUI_LNC014015)
Source: RNAcentral
UCACCAUCCUCAUAAUGAUACUAUGAUCGAGAAUAUUUAGAAAUUAAUUAUAUAUACCUCUAAUUCUCAACAUCUUAAGAAUAUGUAUCGAAGUAUUAAUUUCAUGGACGAUUCAAGGAUACAUCACUCUUGAAUAAAAAUUAAACUUACUCUUUUAUUGAUCAAAUCAAUGUAUUAAGUACAAAAUUGUAUCCUAGAUUUAUUACAAUAUGUCAGCCAUAUUGAUUUCUAAAAUAUAUAUCUAAUAUUUAUAUGAGCUAAUCAUAAUACUUUACCAGAAGUCAAUUCAAAUAGCUC